This 464-nucleotide ribosomal RNA is filed under the name uncultured bacterium. RNAcentral's name for it is "partial 16S ribosomal RNA". It matches the Rfam family "Bacterial small subunit ribosomal RNA", at positions 29 to 507 of the family's 1533-position model. The record is from RNAcentral.
ACGAACGCUGGCGGCGUGCUUAACACAUGCAAGUCGAACGGAAAGGCCCUGCUUGCAGGGUACUCGAGUGGCGAACGGGUGAGUAACACGUGGGUGAUCUGCCCUGCACUUCGGGAUAAGCCUGGGAAACUUGGUCUAAUACCGGAUAGGAGCCAUUUUUAGUGUGAUGGUUGGAAAGUUUUUUCGGUGUAGGAUGAGCUCGCGGCCUAUCAGCUUGUUGGUGGGGUAAUGGCCUACCAAGGCGGCGACGGGUAGCCGGCCUGAGAGGGUGGACGGCCACAUUGGGACUGAGAUACGGCCCAGACUCCUACGGGAGGCAGCAGUGGGGAAGAUUGCACAAUGGGCGCAAGCCUGAUGCAGCGACGCCGCGUGGGGGAUGACGGCCUUCGGGUUGUAAACUCCUUUCGCUAGGGACGAAGCUUUUUGUGACGGUACCUAGAUAAGAAGCACCGGCUAACUACGUG